Molecule: ribosomal RNA, 468 nt
Filed under: uncultured bacterium
Lineage: Bacteria
Description: partial 16S ribosomal RNA
Rfam family: Bacterial small subunit ribosomal RNA
Source: RNAcentral
GACGAACGCUGGCGGCGUGCUUAACACAUGCAAGUCGAACGGAAAGGCCCUGCUUUUGUGGGGUGCUCGAGUGGCGAACGGGUGAGUAACACGUGAGUAACCUGCCCUUGACUUUGGGAUAACUUCAGGAAACUGGGGCUAAUACCGGAUAGGAGCUCCUGCUGCAUGGUGGGGGUUGGAAAGUUUCGGCGGUUGGGGAUGGACUCGCGGCUUAUCAGCUUGUUGGUGGGGUAGUGGCUUACCAAGGCUUUGACGGGUAGCCGGCCUGAGAGGGUGACCGGCCACAUUGGGACUGAGAUACGGCCCAGACGCCUACGGGAGGCAGCAGUGGGGAAUAUUGCACAAUGGGCGGAAGCCUGAUGCAGCAACGCCGCGUGCGGGAUGACGGCCUUCGGGUUGUAAACCGCUUUCGCCUGUGACGAAGCGUGAGUGACGGUAAUGGGUAAAGAAGCACCGGCUAACUGCGUG